This 912-nucleotide ribosomal RNA is filed under the name Leuconostoc mesenteroides subsp. mesenteroides. Its description in RNAcentral is "bacterial SSU rRNA". It matches the Rfam family "Bacterial small subunit ribosomal RNA", at positions 98 to 997 of the family's 1533-position model. Lineage: Bacteria; Bacillati; Bacillota; Bacilli; Lactobacillales; Lactobacillaceae. The record is from RNAcentral.
GCGAACGGGUGAGUAACACGUGGACAACCUGCCUCAAGGCUGGGGAUAACAUUUGGAAACAGAUGCUAAUACCGAAUAAAACUUAGAGUCGCAUGACACAAAGUUAAAAGGCGCUUCGGCGUCACCUAGAGAUGGAUCCGCGGUGCAUUAGUUAGUUGGUGGGGUAAAGGCCUACCAAGACAAUGAUGCAUAGCCGAGUUGAGAGACUGAUCGGCCACAUUGGGACUGAGACACGGCCCAAACUCCUACGGGAGGCUGCAGUAGGGAAUCUUCCACAAUGGGCGAAAGCCUGAUGGAGCAACGCCGCGUGUGUGAUGAAGGCUUUCGGGUCGUAAAGCACUGUUGUAUGGGAAGAACAGCUAGAAUAGGAAAUGAUUUUAGUUUGACGGUACCAUACCAGAAAGGGACGGCUAAAUACGUGCCAGCAGCCGCGGUAAUACGUAUGUCCCGAGCGUUAUCCGGAUUUAUUGGGCGUAAAGCGAGCGCAGACGGUUUAUUAAGUCUGAUGUGAAAGCCCGGAGCUCAACUCCGGAAUGGCAUUGGAAACUGGUUAACUUGAGUGCAGUAGAGGUAAGUGGAACUCCAUGUGUAGCGGUGGAAUGCGUAGAUAUAUGGAAGAACACCAGUGGCGAAGGCGGCUUACUGGACUGCAACUGACGUUGAGGCUCGAAAGUGUGGGUAGCAAACAGGAUUAGAUACCCUGGUAGUCCACACCGUAAACGAUGAACACUAGGUGUUAGGAGGUUUCCGCCUCUUAGUGCCGAAGCUAACGCAUUAAGUGUUCCGCCUGGGGAGUACGACCGCAAGGUUGAAACUCAAAGGAAUUGACGGGGACCCGCACAAGCGGUGGAGCAUGUGGUUUAAUUCGAAGCAACGCGAAGAACCUUACCAGGUCUUGACAUCCUUUGAAGC